RNAcentral lists this ribosomal RNA (22 nucleotides) under Strobilidium sp. RNAcentral's name for it is "partial large subunit ribosomal RNA". The record is from RNAcentral. Lineage: Eukaryota; Ciliophora; Spirotrichea; Choreotrichida; Strobilidiidae.
AUCAUCUGAAGCAAGUAGGAGU